GGUUCCAUAGUGUAGCAGUUAGCAUGGCUGCUUUACAUGCAGAAGGUCCUGGGUUCACACCCCAGUGGAGCCA
This 73-nucleotide transfer RNA is filed under the name Pteropus alecto (black flying fox). It matches the Rfam family "tRNA". Rfam says of the family: Transfer RNA (tRNA) molecules are approximately 80 nucleotides in length. The record is from Rfam by way of RNAcentral. Lineage: Eukaryota; Metazoa; Chordata; Mammalia; Chiroptera; Pteropodidae.